Brassica napus (rape) is the source of this 3384-nucleotide long non-coding RNA. RefSeq lists it as uncharacterized. The transcript has 9 exons. NCBI's taxonomy places the organism in Eukaryota, Viridiplantae, Streptophyta, Magnoliopsida, Brassicales, Brassicaceae. The record is from RefSeq and is a predicted model, not a curated record.
CUUUAAAAUAUAGGCUACGUGAUUCACGUUAUUUCAAAAAGUUGUGUGAAUUGCUGAAUAUAAGUAAACGUUGAGAGAGAUUCAGAAUUCAUAGCAAGCAGAGGAAGAUCAUGAAGAGGCCUGUGAAAUACUUUGUGGUUGAUGCAUUCACUGAGUCAGCUUUCAAGGGGAACCAAGCAGCAGUUUGCUUUCUUGAAGAAGACCAUGAGAAAGACGACUCUUGGCUUCAGUCUCUUGCUGCUGAGUUUGAACUUCCCUUGACAUGUUUUCUUAUUCCCAUCACCGGCUCUGAUUGUCUACAUUCACGACGCUUUCAUCUCCGGUGGUUCACCUCCAAAGCCGAGUUAUUUGGCAAAGCAGAGGGUCGGAGGUGGUGGAAUUAGUAGGGAGACAGCUGUUUAUUGUUGAUUACAUGUAGGACGCUUUGUGAACGAAGACCAGUUGAUACAUAUAUAUUUUUUGUAUUUAGUUGUCUGCAUCCCAAUUCCCACCGAGGAACUUAUGAUGGUGUGCUUGUGUCACUUUUUCUGGGUUUUUUUUUGUUUUGGUGACUAUUGGAUUUUAGUUGGUUUCUUUGUUGCAUUGUUUAACGUCGAUGCCAUGUAACUAUCUGAACAUGUUCUCAUGCAUGAAGCAAAAGACAUGCUUAUUUUCUCGAAAUGCAAAGACCCAUCAACGUUCCCCUAUAUUUAAAAACCAAGCAACUCUUCUCCUGGUGGGAGAUAGUUUGAAGAUAAUUAAAGACAACCAAAGUUGAAAGUAGGAAAAAACAUACGAAAAUGGUUAUUUCAUUGACACAUAAGCUAAGUGGGGAUGACGGUUUGAUGGACUUGAAACAAUCACUCACGUGCCUCUUUUCUUCGUUUUCAAAGCUUGGCAUUGCUUCAUCAACUUCUUCGGCUCUCCUGGGCACGUGAACCGUGUAGCUAACAGUUGUUGCUGGUAGUAUAGAUUGGGAAUCCACGUCUGGAGUUUUGUUUCUGCUGGCAGUCUGAAACACAUUUGUACGUGUGUGUUAUAUUAGAUGAUGUUAUUCUGUUAGAUAUAUGCAUGAAAGUACUAUAUUCAGCAGAAAUUGUUUAGCAUCAACAUGUUUCUUGAGAAAAAAUAGAUGACUAUCCCUAAAUAUUUUUGGGACUGACCGUGGUGACCACCAUGACAAACUGGGUUAUAUCAUCUGAGUUCAUAAGACCCCUAAAGGGGCCGCAUCAUCGUCAGUCACACAAAGCAAGUACACGACCACCGUACUGGUGUAUGAGAUUAUAUAAGUUUUCUUAAAGCAGCACUACAAGAAAAAAGGGUAUUGAUAGCACUCCGGGAUAGCACGAAUUUUCAAACUGCUAUAGUAGAUUAAUUUUUCGAUUUGGGAACGUAUUCAUAGCAUUAACUUAAUGCUAUCAUGAAAAAUUAGCAAGCGGGAAAAGAAAAACACAGAUACCGCCUAUACUUAGUAAAAUUUCGACAACCGCGAAGAACUUAAUUAGUUCCCUCCUUACUUUAAGACUUAGACUACAUAAGGAGAAAAAAAUCAGUCUUCACAUAGAAAAAAAAAUAUUAGAGUCACGGAGAGAACUCUCUCUCGAGAACAAACCCUAAUACCGUCACCGUUAACCUAUCUCCCACUGACGAAACUCUCUGUCGACACCUUGAAGACCGAUUUCGUGCUCUGUAACUCAAACUCAGUUGAAAAGAGGAGGAUGACCUGAAGUUGUGAACAGAUCCAAGCUCAGUUGAAUCAGACGAGGAAAAAACCCGACUCUCCACCAUCUGCGAGAGGCGAACACAGUUCCGGCGGAGAAGACUGAGGAAUAGGACGACGGCGGUGAAGAUAUAGAUUGUGGUUGAGUAUGUUCUAGAGCAGCCCGAGUUUGAAGAUGGUUUUAACGUUGAGUUCAAGCAAAUCUUUGAGAAGUUUAACUUCAGGGAACCUGUCUGAUUAUCUCUGUUUAAGAGACAGUUUUAGUAUCGUGGUUGAAUUUUAUAAGUUAAAUGAAGAAGUUUUACGGUUGGAGCAGAUGGUAUCUUAAUGGAGGAUUUUCAGAAUUUGAAUAUACUCCUUCUCUUUCUGCUUGUGAGGUUUUGAGAUGCAUCGCUUUGUGUUAAGAGAAGAUCUACACAUCAGAUCCAGACUCUCUGAUUCAUCAUCUGCAAUGACUCUUGGGUUACUUCAGAUCCUGGUUAUCAAGAAGAAUAUUCAUGAUCGUUCAAUCAUUUUACCCGUGGUGUACAUGAUACUGCUCAUUGGACACCAAACUCUGGAGACAAGACCCUUCAAUACGAUGAAGAGAAAAUGCAGAAACGGCUGGAAUCAUGUUCCUCUAGCACAAGCGCAGUGACUGGUGAAAUGGCUUUACAUUUGGUAAAUGGCACAGACUUAUGUGAUUUGUAUUUCAGAAUCCCGAUCAGAUGCUUCUUGGUCCCAAUGGCUGUGUGGAAAAUGGUACCCCUUCUAAAGGUCUGUCUCCUCUCUCUCUCAUUAAAAGUCUAUUAAAGUAAUUUAGCUGAUCUUAGUCAGGGAAAGGUCUGAUCUUUCGAUACUGCUUGUGUGUGUGUGACACCUCAUUAUAUUUGCUUGCAAAUUUUAGUCGGUGUACUGAAUCCAAACCAGUGGAAUUGUCUGUGUAAAAACCUUAAGAAUUUUUGUAUUUCUGAAUCCUAAUCAUCAGGUUUAUCUUUCUUCCUCUCAUCUAUUUUGGUUUUAUGUUAAAAAAGGAUCAUAUACUUUAUGAACAUAAGCAAAAUUUGUUUUUGUCCCCACUGCUAAGACAGAUCAGUUAACCGGAGUCUGGUUAUCCUUUCCUCUCUGCCUUGCAUAACGGGAGCCUAAUUCCAGCUAUCUUGCAGCGUUCUGGUAUUAUAUAUAUUUUUUUUGUAAAAACAUAAAUGUUAAUGGUACUCCGUUCUUCUUUUUUUGUUCAUAUUUUCGUAAUCAUGUCGUCUCACAUACCUUUAUUUGGAUUCACGGCUCUAGCUAUAGAAGAUUUGUCUAAUUCGAUAUGAAUGCGUUGUUCGUGUGUAUUUAGCUCUUUAGUUCUUGCUGAUUCCAGUUGCAGGUAGGUAUGAAGUGAAUGUGGGUGAUUCAUUAUUAAUUCAAAAGCUCAGACAGCUGAACCCUUUUGAUUGUUUUUUAUAGCUUCUUGGAUUACAACUUGGGAUAUUAUUAAAGUGCAUCCACUACGCUUUCUCUGAGAGACACAUGCUAAGGCCAAAAAGGAAAAUAGGAGCUCAAGGUUUUGAUUUAGUUCCCAUGUUUUCUUGUCUUUUUAUAUUUAGUUCUGAUAUUGUAACGAUGUUUGUGUAAGAUUUAAUGAAAAUGUUUACAUGUUUGUGGUACUGAUAUAAAAGUACAUUUUGGUUUAUUAAUGAAAUAUAAAUUGAAUAUUA